ACGGAAGGCAGCAGUGGGGAAUAUUGCACAAUGGGCGAAAGCCUGAUGCAGCGACGCCGCGUGAGCGAAGAAGUAUUUCGGUAUGUAAAGCUCUAUCAGCAGGGAAGAUAAUGACGGUACCUGACUAAGAAGCACCGGCUAAAUACGUGCCAGCAGCCGCGGUAAUACGUAUGGUGCAAGCGUUAUCCGGAUUUACUGGGUGUAAAGGGAGCGUAGGCGGUUUUACAAGUCUGAUGUGAAAGCCCGGGGCUCAACUCCGGUAUUGCAUUGGAAACUGUAGAACUAGAGUGUCGGAGGGGUAAGUGGAAUUCCUAGUGUAGCGGUGAAAUGCGUAGAUAUUAGGAGGAACACCAGUGGCGAAGGCGGCUUGCUGGACGACAACUGACGCUGAGGCGCGAAAGCGUGGGGAGCAAACAGGAUUAGAUACCCUGGUA
RNAcentral lists this ribosomal RNA (434 nucleotides) under uncultured Pseudobutyrivibrio sp. RNAcentral's name for it is "bacterial SSU rRNA". It matches the Rfam family "Bacterial small subunit ribosomal RNA", at positions 341 to 792 of the family's 1533-position model. The record is from RNAcentral. Lineage: Bacteria; Bacillati; Bacillota; Clostridia; Lachnospirales; Lachnospiraceae.